CCUUGGAACUGUGACCAGGUUCUCUGCUCCUUUGUGACAGACCACAAGUAUUCUUCUCUAUCCUAGAAAUAUGACCCAUAAUGUCUUUGGGUUGAGACCUCCUAACGCUAUUGCUACUACCAACUCAAAUGCCUCCAAGGUCCAAUUGGUACUACAGUCUCAGUUGAUACAGGAUUACAUCUUCGGAUAUGGAGGAAGGAUGUCCUACAAUUACAAGAAUUAUCUUUGCAUUGAAGAAAGAUUCACCAAGAAGAGAAGGAAGGAAUUGUACCAAAUUGAAUGUCAUCUAAUGUAUCACAAAGCAUCCCAGCAGAGCUCUAUCAAAGCCGAGUGAAGGUCAAGUGAAGGUUGAGCAGAUGACUUCAUGCAAACUCCUGCCAAAAUCCUGAGAUCUUCUGUCUUCUUCUGGAAAUUAUCCAAAUAAAUUCAAGUACAAUUUUGGAUGCUGUGCA
Molecule: long non-coding RNA, 452 nt
Filed under: Monodelphis domestica (gray short-tailed opossum)
Lineage: Eukaryota; Metazoa; Chordata; Mammalia; Didelphimorphia; Didelphidae
Description: lncRNA (ENSMODG00000030414.2)
Source: RNAcentral